CCCUUAGAUGUUCUGGGCCGCACGCGUGCUACACUGAUGCAUUCAACGAGUCUAAAACCUGGUCUGAUGGGGCUGGGUAAUCUUUUGAAAGUGCAUCGUGAUUGGGAUAGAUGAUUGCAAUUCUUCAUCUUCAACGAGGAAUGCCUAGUAAACGCAAGUCAUCAGCUUGCAUUGAUUACGUCCCUGCCCUUUGUACACACCGCCCGUCGCUCCUACCGAUUGAAUGAUCCGAUGAAUACCAUGGAUUGAGAGUACGAAUAGGUUCGCUUAUUUCUGCUGCUCGAGAAGUGGAGUAAAUCUUAUCAUUUAGAGGAAGGAGAAGUCGUAACA
RNAcentral lists this ribosomal RNA (330 nucleotides) under uncultured eukaryote. Its description in RNAcentral is "partial 18S ribosomal RNA". It matches the Rfam family "Eukaryotic small subunit ribosomal RNA", at positions 1470 to 1796 of the family's 1831-position model. The record is from RNAcentral.